UACAGAGGUCUCAAGCGUUGUUCGGAUUCAUUGGGCGUAAAGGGUGCGUAGGCGGCGCGGUAAGUCGGGUGUGAAAUUUCGAGGCUUAACUUCGAAACUGCAUUCGAUACUGCCGUGCUUGAGGACUGGAGAGGAGACUGGAAUUUACGGUGUAGCGGUGAAAUGCGCAGAUAUCGGGAAGAACACCCGUGGCGAAGGCGGUUCUCUGGGACGGUACUGACGCUGAGACGCGAAAGCGUGGGGAGCGAACAGG
This 253-nucleotide ribosomal RNA is filed under the name uncultured bacterium. RNAcentral describes it as "partial 16S ribosomal RNA". It matches the Rfam family "Bacterial small subunit ribosomal RNA", at positions 524 to 776 of the family's 1533-position model. The record is from RNAcentral.